GACGACGCUGCGGCGUGCUAAUACAUGCAAGUCGUACGCUCUUUUCCACCGGAGCUUGCUCCACCGGAAAAAGAGGAGUGGCGAACGGGUGAGUAACACGUGGGUAACCUGCCCAUCAGAAGGGGAUAACACUUGGAAACAGGUGCUAAUACCGUAUAACAAUCGAAACCGCAUGGUUUUGAUUUGAAAGGCGCUUUCGGGUGUCGCUGAUGGAUGGACCCGCGGUGCAUUAGCUAGUUGGUGAGGUAACGGCUCACCAAGGCCACGAUGCAUAGCCGACCUGAGAGGGUGAUCGGCCACAUUGGGACUGAGACACGGCCCAAACUCCUACGGGAGGCAGCAGUAGGGAAUCUUCGGCAAUGGACGAAAGUCUGACCGAGCAACGCCGCGUGAGUGAAGAAGGUUUUCGGAUCGUAAAACUCUGUUGUUAGAGAAGAAUAAGGAUGAGAGUAACUGUUCAUCCCUUGACGGUAUCUAACCAGAAAGCCACGGCUAACUACGUGCCAGCAGCCGCGGUAAUACGUAGGUGGCAAGCGUUGUCCGGAUUUAUUGGGCGUAAAGCGAGCGCAGGCGGUUUCUUAAGUCUGAUGUGAAAGCCCCCGGCUCAACCGGGGAGGGUCAUUGGAAACUGGGAGACUUGAGUGCAGAAGAGGAGAGUGGAAUUCCAUGUGUAGCGGUGAAAUGCGUAGAUAUAUGGAGGAACACCAGUGGCGAAGGCGGCUCUCUGGUCUGUAACUGACGCUGAGGCUCGAAAGCGUGGGGAGCAAACAGGAUUAGAUACCCUGGUAGUCCACGCCGUAAACGAUGAGUGCUAAGUGUUGGAGGGUUUCCGCCCUUCAGUGCUGCAGCUAACGCAUUAAGCACUCCGC
This 869-nucleotide ribosomal RNA is filed under the name Enterococcus faecium. RNAcentral describes it as "bacterial SSU rRNA". It matches the Rfam family "Bacterial small subunit ribosomal RNA", at positions 28 to 872 of the family's 1533-position model. Lineage: Bacteria; Bacillati; Bacillota; Bacilli; Lactobacillales; Enterococcaceae. The record is from RNAcentral.